Molecule: long non-coding RNA, 682 nt
Organism: Octopus sinensis (East Asian common octopus)
Lineage: Eukaryota; Metazoa; Mollusca; Cephalopoda; Octopoda; Octopodidae
Exons: 3
Source: RefSeq, a predicted model, not a curated record
CUGCUGCUGAUUAGCUAUUGCUGCUGUUCGUUGCUGCUGCUUCAGUUGCAACUGUGACCCUACUCAACCGUUACAUAUAUAGGCCUGUGAUACGGUAACAACACUUCAGUUGAAAGAUUCACGCCGGCAACUGCAAAACUCAGCGACUUCUGAUAACAACGUGUUUCUAAUAGAGAAACAAAAAAGAUGGGAAUAAAUAUAAUUCAUGUGCUCUGUCUCGUCGCCGUGUUUGCUUCAAGCGUACAUUCAUUGCCGAAGCGGAAUGACCAUGUUAUUACUCUGCGUUCGUUACGACAAACCGGCCUCAGUGAUUCUGACAGUCGAGCAUUACUUCAAGCAUACAUUCUCGGAAAGCUAUCCAACGUAGACAUUGCCGGUAACAAGGAAGCAGACAAUUCAGAUUAUACUACCAUUAAGAGGAAAGCAUUUUGGAGACCUAUGGGUUACCUUCCUUUUGAUAACCAUGGCGGUAGUGGCGCUAGCAGCAGCAACGAUAACUCUCCCAGUGGAGGCACAGGAUCUGCUGUAUUCAGAUAUGGUUAAGCGACUCUGAAAUAAAAAAAAAAUCAAAUAUAUAAUGAGGAGAGAAUUAAUGAGUAUCAGUAUGAACUAAGUAAAGACCUAACGAGUUGGUUAUUGUCUUCAGCGAGGUUGAUUCAAUUAAAAUAGUUAUUCUUCUUCA